This 992-nucleotide ribosomal RNA is filed under the name Pseudomonas sp. RNAcentral's name for it is "bacterial SSU rRNA". It matches the Rfam family "Bacterial small subunit ribosomal RNA", at positions 52 to 1039 of the family's 1533-position model. Lineage: Bacteria; Pseudomonadati; Pseudomonadota; Gammaproteobacteria; Pseudomonadales; Pseudomonadaceae. The record is from RNAcentral.
UACCAUGCAAGUCGAGCGGAUGAGAGGAGCUUGCUCCUGGAUUCAGCGGCGGACGGGUGAGUAAUGCCUAGGAAUCUGCCUGGUAGUGGGGGACAACGUUUCGAAAGGAACGCUAAUACCGCAUACGUCCUACGGGAGAAAGCAGGGGACCUUCGGGCCUUGCGCUAUCAGAUGAGCCUAGGUCGGAUUAGCUAGUUGGUGAGGUAAUGGCUCACCAAGGCGACGAUCCGUAACUGGUCUGAGAGGAUGAUCAGUCACACUGGAACUGAGACACGGUCCAGACUCCUACGGGAGGCAGCAGUGGGGAAUAUUGGACAAUGGGCGAAAGCCUGAUCCAGCCAUGCCGCGUGUGUGAAGAAGGUCUUCGGAUUGUAAAGCACUUUAAGUUGGGAGGAAGGGUUGUAGAUUAAUACUCUGCAAUUUUGACGUUACCGACAGAAUAAGCACCGGCUAACUCUGUGCCAGCAGCCGCGGUAAUACAGAGGGUGCAAGCGUUAAUCGGAAUUACUGGGCGUAAAGCGCGCGUAGGUGGUUUGUUAAGUUGGAUGUGAAAUCCCCGGGCUCAACCUGGGAACUGCAUCCAAAACUGGCAAGCUAGAGUAUGGUAGAGGGUGGUGGAAUUUCCUGUGUAGCGGUGAAAUGCGUAGAUAUAGGAAGGAACACCAGUGGCGAAGGCGACCACCUGGACUGAUACUGACACUGAGGUGCGAAAGCGUGAGGAGCAAACAGGAUUAGAUACCCUGGUAGUCCACGCCGUAAACGAUGUCAACUAGCCGUUGGGAGCCUUGAGCUCUUAGUGGCGCAGCUAACGCAUUAAGUUGACCGCCUGGGGAGUACGGCCGCAAGGUUAAAACUCAAAUGAAUUGACGGGGGCCCGCACAAGCGGUGGAGCAUGUGGUUUAAUUCGAAGCAACGCGAAGACCUUACCAGGCCUUGACAUCCAAUGAACUUUCCAGAGAUGGAUUGGUGCCUUCGGGAACAUUGAGACAGUG